RNAcentral lists this ribosomal RNA (484 nucleotides) under uncultured bacterium. Its description in RNAcentral is "partial 16S ribosomal RNA". It matches the Rfam family "Bacterial small subunit ribosomal RNA", at positions 28 to 507 of the family's 1533-position model. The record is from RNAcentral.
AUUGAACGCUGGCGGCAUGCUUUACACAUGCAAGUCGAACGGCAGCGCGGGCUUCGGCCUGGCGGCGCGUGGCGAACGGGUGAGUAAUGCAUCGGAACGUGCCCAGUAGUGGGGGAUAGCCCGGCGAAAGACGGGUUGAUACCGCAUACGACCUGAGGGUGAAAGCGGGGGACCGAAAGGACUCGCGCUCUUGGAGCGGCCGAUGGCGGCUUAGCUAGUUGGUGGGGUAAAGGCUUACCAAGACGACGAUCCGUAGCUGGUCUGAGAGGACGGCCAGCCACACGGGGACUGGGACACGGACCAGACUCCUACGGGAGGCAGCAGUGGGGAAUGGUGGACAAUGGGGGCAACCCUGAUCCAGCCAUGCCGCGUGCGAGAAGAAGGCCUUCGGGUUGUAAACCGCUUUUGUUCGGGAAGAAAUCCUCUGGGCUAAUACCCCGGGGGGAUGACGGUACCGGAAGAAUAAGCACCGGCUAACUACGUG